RNAcentral lists this ribosomal RNA (157 nucleotides) under Hyphoderma macaronesicum. Its description in RNAcentral is "5.8S ribosomal RNA". It matches the Rfam family "5.8S ribosomal RNA". From Rfam's summary of the family: 5.8S ribosomal RNA (5.8S rRNA) is a component of the large subunit of the eukaryotic ribosome. The record is from RNAcentral. Lineage: Eukaryota; Fungi; Basidiomycota; Agaricomycetes; Polyporales; Hyphodermataceae.
AACUUUCAGCAACGGAUCUCUUGGCUCUCGCAUCGAUGAAGAACGCAGCGAAAUGCGAUAAGUAAUGUGAAUUGCAGAAUUCAGUGAAUCAUCGAAUCUUUGAACGCACCUUGCGCUCCUUGGUAUUCCGAGGAGCAUGCCUGUUUGAGUGUCAUKU